RNAcentral lists this ribosomal RNA (592 nucleotides) under Nectria pseudotrichia. RNAcentral describes it as "partial large subunit ribosomal RNA". It matches the Rfam family "Eukaryotic large subunit ribosomal RNA", at positions 39 to 655 of the family's 3401-position model. The record is from RNAcentral. Lineage: Eukaryota; Fungi; Ascomycota; Sordariomycetes; Hypocreales; Nectriaceae.
CAUAUCAAAAAGCGGAGGAAAAGAAACCAACAGGGAUUGCCCUAGUAACGGCGAGUGAAGCGGCAACAGCUCAAAUUUGAAAUCUGGCCCUCGUGGUCCGAGUUGUAAUUUGUAGAGGAUGCUUUUGGUUAGGUGCCUUCCGAGUUCCCUGGAACGGGACGCCAUAGAGGGUGAGAGCCCCGUCUGGUUGGACACCGAGCCUCUGUAAAGCUCCUUCGACGAGUCGAGUAGUUUGGGAAUGCUGCUCUAAAUGGGAGGUAUAUGUCUUCUAAAGCUAAAUAUUGGCCAGAGACCGAUAGCGCACAAGUAGAGUGAUCGAAAGAUGAAAAGCACUUUGAAAAGAGGGUUAAAAAGUACGUGAAAUUGUUGAAAGGGAAGCGCUUGUGACCAGACUUGGGCCCGGUCAAUCAUCCAGGGUUCUCCCUGGUGCACUUGGCCGGCCCAGGCCAGCAUCAGUUUGUCGCGGGGGAUAAAGACGUUGGGAAUGUGGCUCCUCCGGGAGUGUUAUAGCCCUUCGUGUAAUACCCUGCUUCGGACUGAGGUUCGCGCAUCUGCAAGGAUGCUGGCGUAAUGGUCAUCAGCGACCCGUCUU